AGGCUCAUGAAGACACCAAAGGAGACAUCCCCAGCAAUUAGCUGGCUGGUUUCAGGACCAAGCCAGUUCAGUCCCCUUCAAGGAGUCAGGG
RNAcentral lists this microRNA precursor (91 nucleotides) under Mus pahari (shrew mouse). Its description in RNAcentral is "microRNA 133c (MGP_PahariEiJ_G0007313.1)". The record is from RNAcentral. Lineage: Eukaryota; Metazoa; Chordata; Mammalia; Rodentia; Muridae.